CGACUAAAUAGUGUUUUGAAAAAUCUGAAACUUGGCAUAUGUCUUUCCUAUAUUCAUAGAUAUUCUGCAAAAAAUUGGGCGAUUUACAAUGAUGAAAUUAACAAAGUACCAGCGUAUCAAAAGAGUGUCGCGUAUGGAAAGAG
Molecule: long non-coding RNA, 143 nt
Organism: Neodiprion fabricii
Lineage: Eukaryota; Metazoa; Arthropoda; Insecta; Hymenoptera; Diprionidae
Exons: 3
Source: RefSeq, a predicted model, not a curated record